Molecule: small RNA, 573 nt
Filed under: Pongo abelii (Sumatran orangutan)
Lineage: Eukaryota; Metazoa; Chordata; Mammalia; Primates; Hominidae
Description: processed transcript
Source: RNAcentral
GAGACUCCCUGUCCCGGACCGCAGAUUAUAGUGGGACCAGUCUCAUUAGGUUGAAUCUACAGCCUUUGUUGGUGUUAACCCAGGUCUCUUAGAGUGUUAAAAGGAUCUGAACAAAGUCUGCUCAAAUCUCCUGCUGUGAACCAGCAGAAUUUUUGAACAGAGACCACGUCUCCAACUCCUGGGCUCCAACGAUUCUCCCAUCUCGGCCUCCCAAAGCGCUGGAGUUACAGGUUUCUUCACAUAUAAAAAUCUAUUGUAAAAAUACGGAAAAGAAUGGCAGCGGAAACGCAGACACUGAACUUUGGGCCUGAAUGUCUCUUACAGAUAUGUUUGGACCCCGAAUAUGGAAUUCUCAUGGAAUUUUGAGAUCCAUCACAUUGUAGUGUGGCUUCCCCCCCCCCCUUCCUUUUUCCCCAAAGUUGGUGAUUGAAGAACCUCUCUUCAGUGGCAUCAAUAAUAAUAAUUACUUUUUCUAUUCAAACCUCGGGCAACCCCUUUGGUAAUAUCAGAAGCAGUAUCUAAAAUAGAUAAAUUGGAUUUGUGUCUUAAACUCUUGGUUGUUCAGGUGGGAGU